AGAGAGUGUGCGAAAUGAGGAGAG
RNAcentral lists this microRNA (24 nucleotides) under Pristionchus pacificus. RNAcentral's name for it is "ppc-miR-8364i-3p". The record is from miRBase by way of RNAcentral. Lineage: Eukaryota; Metazoa; Nematoda; Chromadorea; Rhabditida; Neodiplogasteridae.